This 253-nucleotide ribosomal RNA is filed under the name uncultured bacterium. Its description in RNAcentral is "partial 16S ribosomal RNA". It matches the Rfam family "Bacterial small subunit ribosomal RNA", at positions 524 to 776 of the family's 1533-position model. The record is from RNAcentral.
UACGGAGGGUGCAAGCGUUAUCCGGAUUCACUGGGUUUAAAGGGUGCGUAGGCGGUUUUUUAAGUCAGUGGUGAAAGCUCCGAGCUUAACUUGGAAUCUGCCAUUGAUACUGUAUAUCUUGAAUAUCGUAGAGGUUAGCGGAAUGUUGCAUGUAGCGGUGAAAUGCUUAGAUAUGUUACAGAACACCAAUUGCGAAGGCAGCUAACUAUGCGACAAUUGACGCUGAGGCACGAAAGCGUGGGGAGCAAACAGG